ACGCGGGGAAUCUUACCGGGUCCGGACACACUGAGGAUUGACAGACAGUUGUCUUUCCCUCCCUUCGGGGUGGGAUUACAAAAGAUAACAGAUCUUUCAUGAUCAUGUGAUGGGUGGUGCAUGGCCGUUCUUAGUUCGUGGAGUGAUCUGUCUGCUUAAUUGCGUUUCAAAUUUUAUAUUUGUUAACAUGCGAGUCUUCAAUGACGGCCACUCCACCUUAUAGACAUUAUAUGAUAUGCACAUUUGUGUAUUUGAUUAUAACUUGUCUGGAGUCUGGCUCGAUUUUUUUGACUCAAUUGAACGCAACGGACGUGAUUGCAAGUCCUUGUUGAACAAAUUAUAUAUAUACUACUUCAUCAUUAGUAUAUAUAGUUCGCUUCUCAUGUCGUAGCAGUCAAACGGGCGGGCGUCUUAAUUGGCGCGGUCACGAGGCUUAAUAUGCUGCGGCUGGGAAAACUUGGGCGACCGCUGUAAUACUUCUCUCUUAAACCAGAGGAAGAUUGCGGCAAUAACAGGUCUGUGAUGCCCUCAGAUGUCCCGGGCCGCACACGUGCUACAUUGAUUAGCGCAGUGCGCAUACUUACAUAUAGAUCAUUGAUUGGUUAUUUAUAACCGUCAAUAUCGCCUUGUCUGAAAGGACUAGGUAAUCUAUUGUAAGUGCUGGUUCCUCCUCCCGUUGAGCAUUUUAAUAAUGGUCUCUCUACAUCCCUAGCACAUGAUGUCUAGUGCGAUUGUAGUUGAGUUCUGCCAUUUAUGC
RNAcentral lists this ribosomal RNA (757 nucleotides) under Globigerinella siphonifera. RNAcentral's name for it is "SSU rRNA". The stretch from base 1 to 681 matches the Rfam family "Eukaryotic small subunit ribosomal RNA", at positions 1203 to 1607 of the family's 1831-position model. The record is from RNAcentral. Lineage: Eukaryota; Foraminifera; Rotaliida; Globigerinidae.